GUGCCCUUUUAAGACUGAAGCAGUGCUUUAAGAGGUUAACACAGAAGCGUAAAGUAAGUUUCCAUAAAACCCAGAGAAGAGAUUAUAAAAAUCCUCUUUGCAUCCUGUCUGGAGUCACAGUU
This 122-nucleotide small nucleolar RNA is filed under the name Propithecus coquereli (Coquerel's sifaka). RNAcentral's name for it is "Small nucleolar RNA SNORA26 (ENSPCOG00000010202.1)". It matches the Rfam family "Small nucleolar RNA SNORA26". From Rfam's summary of the family: The snoRNA HBI-6 belong to the H/ACA family of snoRNAs, guiding the pseudouridylation of position U4522 if the 28S rRNA. HBI-6 is the human orthologue of mouse MBI-6 snoRNA. Lineage: Eukaryota; Metazoa; Chordata; Mammalia; Primates; Indriidae. The record is from Rfam by way of RNAcentral.